UAAAGAAAGCGUAAUAGAUCACUGGUCGAGUCGGCCUGCGCGGAAGAUGUAGCGGGGCUAAACCAUGCACCGAAGCUGCGGCAGCGACACUGUGUGUUGUUGGGUAGGGGAGCGUUCUGUAAGCCUGUGAAGGUGGCCUGUGAGGGUUGCUGGAGGUAUCAGAAGUGCGAAUGCUGACAUAAGUAACGAUAAAGCGGGUGAAAAGCCCGCUCGCCGGAAGACCAA
Molecule: ribosomal RNA, 225 nt
Filed under: Salmonella enterica subsp. enterica serovar Mbandaka
Lineage: Bacteria; Pseudomonadati; Pseudomonadota; Gammaproteobacteria; Enterobacterales; Enterobacteriaceae
Description: partial 23S ribosomal RNA
Rfam family: Bacterial large subunit ribosomal RNA
Source: RNAcentral